This is a long non-coding RNA of Panicum virgatum (switchgrass), 441 nucleotides long. RefSeq lists it as uncharacterized. NCBI's taxonomy places the organism in Eukaryota, Viridiplantae, Streptophyta, Magnoliopsida, Poales, Poaceae. The transcript is spliced from 2 exons. The record is from RefSeq and is a predicted model, not a curated record.
CUCUACCUCCAGCUCCAGGCGGCAGCGGCGGGGAGGGCUAUGGACGGCUGACGCGGGGCGCCGCCUGAUGCCACCACAAACUUCCCCCCUUGGCCCAUCAGGGUUGAGAAUUGCUACGUAUUCAAGAGCCACCUGCAAGAGUACGCGCAGAAAGCUGGUCUCCCAACCCCUGAGUAUCAUACCCUCAAAGAGGGCCCGUCCCACGAACCAAUAUUCAAGUCCACAGUGGUCGUUAACAACACCAAGUACGAUUCGCUGCCUGGAUUCUUCAGCCGAAAGGCUGCAGAACAGUCCGCCGCUGAAGUUGCGCUUCUGGAGAUAGUCAAGUCUGUUCCAGCAACUGAAACCAGAAGCAUCCCAGCAGUAGUAAGUUACUCGUUUACGCAGAUAUUUGUGCUAAACAAGUAAAGAUUCUAAGUUCUAUACAAAAUCAGCCUCCAA